GAUGAACGCUGGCGGCGUGCCUAAUACAUGCAAGUCGAGCGAACAGACGAGGAGCUUACUCCUCUGACGUUAGCGGCGGACGGGUGAGUAACACGUGGAUAACCUACCUAUAAGACUGGGAUAACUUCGGGAAACCGGAGCUAAUACCGGAUAACAUGUUGAACCGCAUGGUUCAACAGUGAAAGACGGUCUUGCUGUCACUUAUAGAUGGAUCCGCGUCGCAUUAGCUAGUUGGUAAGGUAACGGCUUACCAAGGCAACGAUGCGUAGCCGACCUGAGAGGGUGAUCGGCCACACUGGAACUGAGACACGGUCCAGACUCCUACGGGAGGCAGCAGUAGGGAAUCUUCCGCAAUGGGCGAAAGCCUGACGGAGCAACGCCGCGUGAGUGAAGAAGGUCUUCGGAUCGUAAAACUCUGUUAUUAGGGAAGAACAAAUGUGUAAGUAACUAUGCACGUCUUGACGGUACCUAAUCAGAAAGCCACGGCUAACUACGUGCCAGCAGCCGCGGUAAUACGUAGGUGGCAAGCGUUAUCCGGAAUUAUUGGGCGUAAAGCGCGCGUAGGCGGUUUUUUAAGUCUGAUGUGAAAGCCCACGGCUCAACCGUGGAGGGUCAUUGGAAACUGGAAAACUUGAGUGCAGAAGAGGAAAGUGGAAUUCCAUGUGUAGCGGUGAAAUGCGCAGAGAUAUGGAGGAACACCAGUGGCGAAGGCGACUUUCUGGUCUGUAACUGACGCUGAUGUGCGAAAGCGUGGGGAUCAAACAGGAUUAGAUACCCUGGUAGUCCACGCCGUAAACGAUGAGUGCUAAGUGUUAGGGGGUUUCCGCCCCUUAGUGCUGCAGCUAACGCAUUAAGCACUCCGCCUGGGGAGUACGACCGCAAGGUUGAAACUCAAAGGAAUUGACGGGGACCCGCACAAGCGGUGGAGCAUGUGGUUUAAUUCGAAGCAACGCGAAGAUCCUUACCAAAUCUUGACAUCCUCUGACCCCUCUAGAGAUAGAGUUUUCCCCUUCGGGGGACAGAGUGACAGGUGGUGCAUGGUUGUCGUCAGCUCGUGUCGUGAGAUGUUGGGUUAAGUCCCGCAACGAGCGCAACCCUUAAGCUUAGUUGCCAUCAUUAAGUUGGGCACUCUAAGUUGACUGCCGGUGACAAACCGGAGGAAGGUGGGGAUGACGUCAAAUCAUCAUGCCCCUUAUGAUUUGGGCUACACACGUGCUACAAUGGACAAUACAAAGGGUAGCGAAACCGCGAGGUCAAGCAAAUCCCAUAAAGUUGUUCUCAGUUCGGAUUGUAGUCUGCAACUCGACUACAUGAAGCUGGAAUCGCUAGUAAUCGUAGAUCAGCAUGCUACGGUGAAUACGUUCCCGGGUCU
RNAcentral lists this ribosomal RNA (1372 nucleotides) under uncultured bacterium. Its description in RNAcentral is "bacterial SSU rRNA". It matches the Rfam family "Bacterial small subunit ribosomal RNA", at positions 28 to 1381 of the family's 1533-position model. The record is from RNAcentral.